This 320-nucleotide unclassified non-coding RNA is filed under the name Hevea brasiliensis (rubber tree). The record is from RNAcentral. Lineage: Eukaryota; Viridiplantae; Streptophyta; Magnoliopsida; Malpighiales; Euphorbiaceae.
GUUAGGUUUCUCCCUCUCUCCUCAUCAUAUGAAAAUGGAUGUUCCUUCAGGUCCUAGUAAUCACCAUCACCAAGCACAAGCAGAGUCUGGCUCAGCUUCUGUUCCUACUGCAAUCCCAACAAGCCUUUUCUACUCCCAAUCACAUUCACACCUCAAUUAUGGCAGUUACUGUGGUGUUGAAGGUGAAAAUUGUGGGUUGUACUCUCCCUUGCCAGUGAUGCCACUAAAGUCUGAUGGGUCUCUUUGUAUGAUGGAAGCUCUCACCAGGUCACAGCCUCAAGCAACAAUGUUGACUACUUCAACUCCAAAACUGGAGGACU